RNAcentral lists this transfer RNA (73 nucleotides) under Urocitellus parryii (Arctic ground squirrel). RNAcentral's name for it is "Spermophilus parryii (Arctic ground squirrel) tRNA". It matches the Rfam family "tRNA". Rfam says of the family: Transfer RNA (tRNA) molecules are approximately 80 nucleotides in length. Their secondary structure includes four short double-helical elements and three loops (D, anti-codon, and T loops). The record is from Rfam by way of RNAcentral. RNAcentral also lists the same sequence under 2 other names. Lineage: Eukaryota; Metazoa; Chordata; Mammalia; Rodentia; Sciuridae.
GGGGAUAUAGCUCAGUUGGUAGAGUGCUUGCCUCACAUGUACAAAACCCUGGGCUCAAUCCCCAGCACUCCCA